CCGCCAUAUGUGUACCAUAUUCCCACGAUCAUCAAGCUUCUGCAACCAUCAACUCAUUUGGAAGUCUCGACCUUGCUUGAGUCAUAUAGCUUGAAGGAGGAACCAUCAUCUUUUCACAUCAAACCCGCCGUAUGUGCACCAUAUUCCCACCACCACCAAGCUUCUGCAACCACCAACCCAUUUGGAAGUCUCGACCUUGCUUGAGUCAUGUAGCUUGGAGGGCUUAUUCCAUCAUUUGGUAAUCAGAGCUUAGGUUAUUGUGUUUGUCUUUGUGUUUUCCUAACCUUUUCUUGUUGUAACUAUUAUGGAAUGGUCUAAAUUAACCUCCCU
This 330-nucleotide long non-coding RNA is filed under the name Vigna radiata. Its description in RNAcentral is "long non-coding RNA (VRAD_LNC002765)". The record is from RNAcentral. Lineage: Eukaryota; Viridiplantae; Streptophyta; Magnoliopsida; Fabales; Fabaceae.